ACAAGCCUUGUGGUAGAUAGUUCAGUUUGGCGACGAGGAAAAGUGGAAUCAUCUUGAAGCGGCAUUAUAAACGAACAAAGACCUUUGGCUUCAAUCCGGCGCGACGCCAUCUCCUGCAUGCGACAAUCUACUGAAGUUUCGGAAGACGAUCGACAAGUUGUUGCUCAAUUGAAGGAUAAGAAACCGGUAUCCAGUUUCUUCUGUUCAGCUCCAGUCCUGUGAUUCAAAAGUGAUUGUGUCCUGACAGCUAUUGUUCGCCAUCGCUGAAAUUGGUUUAAUGGUGUGAGUCACGACUGAUUGGCUAUUCCCCUGAUACUAAAUUUCGAUCCGAGGGAUUUCGAGUUUCCGAGAGAGCGAUUCCAAGCAGGUAUCAGCGGCCCGAUACGUCAACUGACGGCUCGUGUGUGGUUGAUUGACCCCGAGUAGACCCCUCAAAGCAUCGGCAAAGGCUGACGGAGUUUCUGGUACUAAUUGGAAACGUGGUAACCACAGCUCAUCGAGGGCAGCUACGCAUCUGUAAACAUGAGGAAUCCUAUGAAAGGCCAAAUGUUGUUUGCCGCCGGCAACAGCCGGAACCAGAUGCCGUCGACGAGGAAUUUCAAGGCUUUCCGGAGGAGGAAAUCAGGCAAAGUAGAAAGCGAAAGAUGAAGUUUGAUGAAGCGAUGCAAGAGGUUGAAAAGUCAACCGAAGACGCUCCGAGGCGUUCGAAAAGAAUACGUCGACAAGUAAACGAUGGUGACUUUGUAUACCGUCAUCGUUAAAGUGUUA
Armigeres subalbatus is the source of this 768-nucleotide long non-coding RNA. RefSeq lists it as uncharacterized. NCBI's taxonomy places the organism in Eukaryota, Metazoa, Arthropoda, Insecta, Diptera, Culicidae. The transcript has 3 exons. The record is from RefSeq and is a predicted model, not a curated record.